This 433-nucleotide ribosomal RNA is filed under the name uncultured bacterium. RNAcentral describes it as "partial 16S ribosomal RNA". It matches the Rfam family "Bacterial small subunit ribosomal RNA", at positions 29 to 507 of the family's 1533-position model. The record is from RNAcentral.
AACGAACGCUGGCGGCAGGCUUAACACAUGCAAGUCGAACGGAUCCUUCGGGAUUAGUGGCAGACGGGUGAGUAACGCGUGGGAACGUACCCUUUGCUACGGAAUAACUCAGGGAAACUUGAGCUAAUACCGUAUGUGCCCUACGGGGGAAAGAUUUAUCGGCAAAGGAUCGGCCCGCGUUGGAUUAGCUAGUUGGUGGGGUAAUGGCCUACCAAGGCGACGAUCCAUAGCUGGUCUGAGAGGAUGAUCAGCCACACUGGGACUGAGACACGGCCCAGACUCCUACGGGAGGCAGCAGUGGGGAAUAUUGGACAAUGGGCGCAAGCCUGAUCCAGCCAUGCCGCGUGAGUGAUGAAGGUCUUAGGAUUGUAAAGCUCUUUCACCGGUGAAGAUAAUGACGGUAGCCGGAGAAGAAGCCCCGGCUAACUCCGUG